GACGAACGCUGGCGGCGUGCUUAACACAUGCAAGUCGAACGGAAAGGCCCUGCUUUUGUGGGGUGCUCGAGUGGCGAACGGGUGAGUAACACGUGAGUAACCUGCCCUUGACUUUGGGAUAACUUCAGGAAACUGGGGCUAAUACCGGAUAGGAGCUCCUGCUGCAUGGUGGGGGUUGGAAAGUUUCGGCGGUUGGGGAUGGACUCGCGGCUUAUCAGCUUGUUGGUGGGGUAGUGGCUUACCAAGGCUUUGACGGGUAGCCGGCCUGAGAGGGUGACCGGCCACAUUGGGACUGAGGUACCGCCCAGACUCCUACGGGAGGCAGCAGUGGGGAAUAUUGCACAAUGGGCGGAAGCCUGAUGCAGCAACGCCGCGUGCGGGAUGACGGCCUUCGGGGUGUAAACCGCUUUCGCCUGUGACGAAGCGUGAGUGACGGUAAUGGGUAAAGAAGCACCGGCUAACUACGUG
RNAcentral lists this ribosomal RNA (468 nucleotides) under uncultured bacterium. RNAcentral's name for it is "partial 16S ribosomal RNA". It matches the Rfam family "Bacterial small subunit ribosomal RNA", at positions 28 to 507 of the family's 1533-position model. The record is from RNAcentral.